This 497-nucleotide ribosomal RNA is filed under the name uncultured bacterium. Its description in RNAcentral is "partial 16S ribosomal RNA". It matches the Rfam family "Bacterial small subunit ribosomal RNA", at positions 28 to 507 of the family's 1533-position model. The record is from RNAcentral.
GAUGAACGCUGGCGGCGUGCUUAAUACAUGCAAGUCGAGCGGACGGACGCGAAGCUUGCUUCUCUGAUGUUAGCCGCGGGCGUGUGAGAAACGCGUGUAUCCCCUCCCUGUAAGACUGGUAUAACUUCGGGAAACCGUAGCUAAUACGGGAUAAUAUUUUGAACCGCGUGGUUGGAAGGUGAGUUACGGCCUUGCUGGCUCGUAUAGCUGGAUCCGCGCUGUAUUAGCUAGUUGGUGAGGUAACGGCUUACCAAGGCAACGAUGCCUGGCCGACCUGAGAGGGGGAUCGGCGACACUGGAACUGAGACACGGACCAGACUCCUACGGGAGGCAGCAGUAGGGAAUCGUCGGCAAUGGGCGAAAGCCUGACGCAGCAACGCCGCGUGAGUGACGAAGGUCUUCGGAUCGUAAAACCCGGUUAUUAGGGAAGAACAGAUGUGUAAGUAAACGUGGACAGCGUGACGGUACCGAAUCAGAAAGCACCGGCUAACUACGUG